GAUGAACGCUGGCGGCGUGCCUAAUACAUGCAAGUCGAGCGAACAGAUGAGGAGCUUGCUCCUCUGACGUUAGCGGCGGACGGGUGAGUAACACGUGGAUAACCUACCUAUAAGACUGGGAUAACUUCGGGAAACCGGAGCUAAUACCGGAUAAUAUAUUGAGCCGCAUGGUUCAAUAGUGAAAGACGGUUUUGUUGUCACUUAUAGAUGGAUCCGCGCCGCAUUAGCUAGUUGGUAAGGUAACGGCUUACCAAGGCAACGAUGCGUAGCCGACCUGAGAGGGUGAUCGGCCACACUGGAACUGAGACACGGUCCAGACUCCUACGGGAGGCAGCAGUAGGGAAUCUUCCGCAAUGGGCGAAAGCCUGACGGAGCAACGCCGCGUGAGUGAUGAAGGUCUUCGGAUCGUAAAACUCUGUUAUUAGGGAAGAACAAAUGUGUAAGUAACUAUGCACGUCUUGACGGUACCUAAUCAGAAAGCCACGGCUAACUACGUG
This 497-nucleotide ribosomal RNA is filed under the name uncultured bacterium. RNAcentral's name for it is "partial 16S ribosomal RNA". It matches the Rfam family "Bacterial small subunit ribosomal RNA", at positions 28 to 507 of the family's 1533-position model. The record is from RNAcentral.